CAAUAGCGUAUAUUAAAGUUGUUGCGGUAAAAAAGCUCGUAGUUGGAUUUCUACCGAAGAUAGCCGGUCGGGUCUUCGACCUUGUAUCUGGUUUUGUCUUUGGUAUCCUCAUAGGGAACGUUUCUGCGCUUUAUUGCGUGGUGCGGUAUCUAUGACUUUUACCUUGAGGAAAUUAGAGUGUUCACGGCAGGCAAACGCCUUGAAUAUAUUAGCAUGGAAUAAUAACAUAGGAUCUUCGUCCUAUUUUGUUGGUUUCUAGGGCUAAGAUAAUGAUUAAUAGGGAUAAUUGGGGGCAUCUGUAUCAACGCGUCAGAGGUGGAAUUCUUGGAUUGCGUUGCGACAAACUACUGCGAAAGCAUUUGCCAAGGAUGUUUUCAUUGA
RNAcentral lists this ribosomal RNA (381 nucleotides) under uncultured eukaryote. RNAcentral describes it as "partial 18S ribosomal RNA". It matches the Rfam family "Eukaryotic small subunit ribosomal RNA", at positions 592 to 976 of the family's 1831-position model. The record is from RNAcentral.